CCUACGGGAGGCAGCAGUGAGGAAUAUUGGUCAAUGGACGAGAGCCUGAACCAGCCAAGUAGCGUGAAGGAUGACUGCACUAUGGGUUGUAAACUUCUUUUAUAUGGGAAUAAAACGUUCCACGUGUGGGAUUUUGUAUGUACCAUAUGAAUAAGGAUUGGCUAACACCGUGCCAAUAGCCGCGGUAAUACGGAGGAACCGAGCGUUCUCCGGAUUUUUUGGGUUUAAAGGGAGCGUAGGUGGAUUGUUAAGUCAGUUGUGAAAGUUUGCGGCUCAACCGGAAAAUUGCAGUGGAAACUGGCAGUCUUGAGUACAGUAGAGGUGUGCGGAAUUCGUGGUGUAGCGGUGAAAUGCUUAGAUAUCACGAAGAACUCCGAUUGCGAAGGCAGUUCACUGGACUGCAACUGACACUGAGGCUCGAAAGUGUGGGUAUCAAACAGGAUUAGAUACCCGAGUAGUC
This 460-nucleotide ribosomal RNA is filed under the name uncultured bacterium. RNAcentral's name for it is "partial 16S ribosomal RNA". It matches the Rfam family "Bacterial small subunit ribosomal RNA", at positions 338 to 795 of the family's 1533-position model. The record is from RNAcentral.